RNAcentral lists this ribosomal RNA (403 nucleotides) under uncultured bacterium. Its description in RNAcentral is "partial 16S ribosomal RNA". It matches the Rfam family "Bacterial small subunit ribosomal RNA", at positions 30 to 526 of the family's 1533-position model. The record is from RNAcentral.
AUUGAACGCUGGCGGCCGGCCUAACACAUGCAAGUCGAGCGAGCGGCGGACGGGUGAGUAAUGUUUGGGGACUGCCCGAUAGAGGUGGAUAACUACUGGAAACGGUUGCUAAUACCGCAUACUGUCGUAUUACCCAUAUGGGAUUAGCUAGUAGGUAAGGGAAUUGCUUACCUAGGCGACGAUCCCUAGCUGGUCUGAGAGGAUGAUCAGCCACACUGGGACUGAGACACGGCCCAGACUCCUACGGAGGCAGCAGUGGUGAAUAUUGCACAAUGGGCGCAAGCCUGAUGCAGCCAUGCCGCGUGUAGGAAGAAGGCCCUAGGGUUGUAAAGUACUUUCAGUCGGGAGGCGUUACCGACAGAAGAAGCACCGGCUAACUCCGUGCCAGCAGCCGCGGUAAUUC